UACGAAGGGGGCUAGCGUUACUCGGAAUUACUGGGCGUAAAGGGCGCGUAGGCGGCAUGACAAGUUGGACGUGAAAUUCCUGGGCCCAACCGGGGGACUGCGUUCAAGACUGUUGAGCUAGAGGAUGGAAGAGGGUCGUGGAAUUCCCAGUGUAGAGGUGAAAUUCGUAGAUAUUGGGAAGAACACCGGUGGCGAAGGCGGCGACCUGGUCCAUUACUGACGCUGAGGCGCGACAGCGUGGGGAGCAAACAGG
This 253-nucleotide ribosomal RNA is filed under the name uncultured bacterium. RNAcentral describes it as "partial 16S ribosomal RNA". It matches the Rfam family "Bacterial small subunit ribosomal RNA", at positions 524 to 776 of the family's 1533-position model. The record is from RNAcentral.